ACCCACGUAGCUCAAUGGCAGAGCGCGGGACCUCGGUCCCAGCGGUGUCGGUUCGAAUCCGACCGUGGGUU
This 71-nucleotide transfer RNA is filed under the name Pythium arrhenomanes ATCC 12531. Its description in RNAcentral is "tRNA-Arg for anticodon CCU". It matches the Rfam family "tRNA". Rfam says of the family: Transfer RNA (tRNA) molecules are approximately 80 nucleotides in length. The record is from RNAcentral. Lineage: Eukaryota; Oomycota; Peronosporomycetes; Pythiales; Pythiaceae.